This 301-nucleotide ribosomal RNA is filed under the name uncultured bacterium. RNAcentral describes it as "partial 16S ribosomal RNA". It matches the Rfam family "Bacterial small subunit ribosomal RNA", at positions 509 to 809 of the family's 1533-position model. The record is from RNAcentral.
CAGUCGCCACGGGAAAACGAAGGGGGCUAGCGUUGUUCGGAUUUACUGGGCGUAAAGGGCGCGUAGGCGGACUGAUAAGUCAGGGGUGAAAUCCCAAGGCUCAACCUUGGAACUGCCUUUGAUACUGUUUGUCUUGAGUUCGAGAGAGGUAAGUGGAACUGCGAGUGUAGAGGUGAAAUUCGUAGAUAUUCGCAAGAACACCAGUGGCGAAGGCGGCUUACUGGCUCGAAACUGACGCUGAGGCGCGAAAGCGUGGGGAGCAAACAGGAUUAGAUACCCCAGUAGUCCCUGUCUCUUAUAA